CCUACGGGUGGCAGCAGUGAGGAAUAUUGGUCAAUGGACGCAAGUCUGAACCAGCCAUGCCGCGUGCAGGAAGACGGCUCUAUGAGUUGUAAACUGCUUUUGUACGAGGGUAAACGCAGACACGCGUACCUUUCUGAAAGUACUGUAUGAAUAAGGAUCGGCUAACUCCGUGCCAGCAGCCGCGGUAAUACGGAGGAUUCAAGCGUUAUCCGGAUUUAUUGGGUUUAAAGGGUGCGUAGGCGGUCGGAUAAGUUAGAUGUGAAAUCCCGAGGCUCAACUUCGGAAUUGCAUCUGAUACUGUUCGGCUAGAGAGUAGUUGCGGUAGGCGGAAUGUAUGGUGUAGCGGUGAAAUGCUUAGAGAUCAUACAGAACACCGAUUGCGAAGGCAGCUUACCAAGCUACUUCUGACGUUGAGGCACGAAAGCGUGGGGAGCAAACAGGAUUAGAUACCCGAGUAGUC
RNAcentral lists this ribosomal RNA (460 nucleotides) under uncultured bacterium. RNAcentral's name for it is "partial 16S ribosomal RNA". It matches the Rfam family "Bacterial small subunit ribosomal RNA", at positions 338 to 795 of the family's 1533-position model. The record is from RNAcentral.